Long non-coding RNA from Lagopus leucura (white-tailed ptarmigan), 2981 nucleotides. RefSeq lists it as uncharacterized. The record is from RefSeq and is a predicted model, not a curated record. NCBI's taxonomy places the organism in Eukaryota, Metazoa, Chordata, Aves, Galliformes, Phasianidae. The transcript has 3 exons.
GUGAGCCCACCGAGCUUCGGUGGGGCGCCGCAGGACCCCCAGAGCUGCGAGUGGGGCCGGGCUGCGGGGCUGUCAGCAGGGAAAGGUGAAACGGCGCUGGGAACGAGCGCCUUUAAAAGCGUAUGGAAACGUGAAGCGCUUGAAGAAAAUCCGUGGAUGAAGACGUGUGCUGGGCUCUGAACUGGUGAGGUUGUUAUUUUGAAAGAAGGGAGGGCCCUCUAGAUAAUGACAGGGAGCUUAGCAGUGUGUUUGUGCACACCUGUUUGCUUCCAGCCUGUGUACGUGCAGCCUGACAGAGGCAAUGUGGAGAUCGGUGCGUGCUGCCGGCUGGGUUUCUGUUGGAAUAAGGGUGAGCUCCUCUCUGGAGCAAAUGGCAUCGGCAGUGAGCGUUGGUGCAAUUGGAGUGGGAUGGUCUUUGUGCCGGGGUGCUGGGGAGGGGCAGCUCACCUUUGCUGCCGUGCUUCUCCUCCCUUCGCACGGCAUAACAGCAGCUGCUGGAGCAUGGGAUGGAAUCUUGGAGCUGAUCAAUUGUACAACAGCAGUUCUUCUCCGAUCGCUUUGGCUUCUGAAAUGUAGGAUCCCUCUUUCUACUUUCUUUCUGUUCAGCUGAAAUCGGUAGACUUUUACUGCUGGAAUAAUAAUGGUAACGUGAAAACAUUUCAGAGUGAGAACAAAUUGUUCGUUUCUUGCUUCCCUUUCAGAAGUCGUGGCUGUAUGUACAGGAUUUCAUAAGAAACAAUCUCCGUGACAUCUCUGGAUGAGCCCUUUCCAGGUCUACAGUAUCAUCUCAGCGUAGCACCUCCAUCGCAUUCUCUGCCCAGCUCAACAGUGACAAUAUCUUCACUUUCUAGCACAGAAUGGGAUCGAUGUGUUCAAGCUGUAUUCCACUCCAGCUGUUGCCAGCAGAGCGCUGUCAUUACCUUCUUGCGUCUGUUGCCAGGUGAGGGGGGGCCUUUUCCACUUGGAGCAAACACACGCAGUAACAGUGACGGCAAUGACGUGUGCCUCUGAGUGGGAAAACAAGUCCCCAAGUGCACUGUGUGACCAUUUUUGGGGGUUGGACCCAAUGAUCUCUGGAGGUCCCUUCCUACCUCUGUGAUUCUGUGAUUUCUCCCUUCUACACACAAUAUUUCUGCCUCUGGAUGUUACCUUCCUCAUGCUAAAACCGUGUGUGUGUGGUGGGGAGGAAUUCAGGUGCCGCUGAACGUUUUUGAGCUGAAACAAACCCUGGGUUUUUGACAGUAUCGUGAUUCACAAAGGGAAACAGUGACUUUGAUAGAUGUCAGAUUGGGGACAGAACUCCGCAACAGGAACUGAGUGUUUCAGUGUGGUGUAAUGUCAAAGUUACUGCUAUCGGUUGUGUGCAGGCAGACGAUAAAGUCCACACUGGGUGACUUGGUAUCUAACUUGCUCUUCGUUAUGUUUCUCAAGAAUAGGAGAGGGCCAUGGAGGAAUGUGAAUGAAUAUACUCUGAUGCAAGGUCAUACAAGUGUAUUGUGCUAAUGUCACAUUUUCUGGGACCAAACCCUGCUGGAGCCACAGGUGAGACCUUCUUUGACUCCAGCUUUGGCUCAGACACGCUUUUCUUCAGAUAAUGAGUAAAAUUCUGGUUCUGAUCUCCAUUUCGCCAUUGACUUCAAGAGGAUGAGGGCUGCACUUAGUUUUUCUUAAGCUACGCGGGGAUGUUCAUCUGAUAGUGGGAAAAGCCUCAUUCAACUGCAGCACAAAUUAGGUAAACGAGCUGUGACUUCGGGGUGUGACCUGGAGGUGGGCAUGGUAGGGGGCCUCUUUCUGCCUAAAUCCCUCGAGCAACCUCCAAACAUAGAGAUGUAUGUGUUGGCACUGUAAGUUUCAACUUCUGAGUUAAAACAGCCCCUCCGUGGUACCUCUGGCAGUGGCUGGUGGGUAUGUUGCUCCUGACUCCAGGCAAAAACACCUGGCUGUUGAGUGCUUGUGUGCGGCUUGGGAGGGAUGGAGAAGGCAGGUGGUUAUCAGUGGCCCCACAGCUGCUGUUAGAUUUCUCCCCAUGGUGAGGCAGAGCUCACUAUUGACCAACCUCCAUUUUCAUUAACUCCAGAAGCUGGCAGAGUACACUGAAUAAUUCAAGAGAGACAUGUUUAAACAUUUGCACAAGCCUCAGAUUCCUCCUGGCUAAAAAUAAGCCUGUGAGAAAGAAAACGAUUCUCAUUCGAGGUGCCAGCAGAUGGGCAGCAGAGGCACAGACCCCAUCCCAACACCAUCAUGUCGCUGCUCCCAAGGGGAACAUUGGCCGUAGGGUUUAUCCCCACUGCUGGGGCCAGCCUGAAGGUGGUGCAAAGCAAAGAUACGAACUCACAGAUGCCCUUUGAGGUCAGCAUUUUGGAGCACCCGAGCAGAAGUGGUUCUUCCACAGGGAGAGAUCUGUGCCUUUCCCACCGUAGCUGAGCACCAAUGGGCAAAGCCAGCGUGCCAGGCUCCGUUCUGAUGUUCUACUGAGCGCCUGAGAUUGCUUGCCAGUGUGGUGCACUUCAUGUAUAAAAUAUAUUGGCUUCGUGUCCCCAGGGUGACAAAAAAUGUACUGAGUUCUUUUUUGGAAAAACUUCCAUUGUAUGCAGAACGACAGCUUCUCAGGGCAGCCUGUGAUGCUGCCUCACCAGCAGCCAAAGCCUCGCUGCAUUCUGGGGUUAAAUGCAGUGCUCCGGGGGACUCUAGAAAUUAAAGCCCCCAGAGGUUAUUGUUAAUAAAACCUAAUUAAAUUUGGAUGUAAAUGUAGCGUGCUGUUGCAUUUGCAUCUGGCUUUUGGUGGUUUACGUGUAUAUGUAUGUGAAUUAUAUAAGCAAGCAUACUUGUAAGCAUGCAAACAAGCAUCUGUGCAUAAACAGGUGCUUCUGAACUCUGGUGGUGUGGCUGCAGUGUGCCAGCACCUAACUCAUGGAAUCACAGCAUGGCCUGGGGUGCACAGGAGCACAACGCUCAUCAGUUCCAACCCCUGCUGUGUGCAG